GACGAACGCUGGCGGCGUGCCUAAUACAUGCAAGUCGAGCGCAGGAAACAGAUUGAAGCCUUCGGGUGAAUAUUUGUGGAAUGAGCGGCGGACGGGUGAGUAACACGUGGGUAACCUGCCUACAAGAUUGGGAUAACUCCGGGAAACCGGGGCUAAUACCAAAUAAUACUUUUUGCCUCCUGGCAGAAAGAUGAAAGGCGGCUUCGGCUGUCACUUGUAGAUGGACCUGCGGCGCAUUAGCUAGUUGGUAGGGUAAUGGCCUACCAAGGCGACGAUGCGUAGCCGACCUGAGAGGGUGAUCGGCCACACUGGGACUGAGACACGGCCCAGACUCCUACGGGAGGCAGCAGUAGGGAAUCUUCCGCAAUGGACGAAAGUCUGACGGAGCAACGCCGCGUGAGUGAUGAAGGUUUUCGGAUCGUAAAACUCUGUUGUUAGGGAAGAACAAGUGUGAGAGUAACUGCUCAUGCCAUGACGGUACCUAACCAGAAAGCCACGGCUAACUACGUGCCAGCAGCCGCCGUAACAC
RNAcentral lists this ribosomal RNA (529 nucleotides) under uncultured bacterium. RNAcentral's name for it is "bacterial SSU rRNA". It matches the Rfam family "Bacterial small subunit ribosomal RNA", at positions 28 to 526 of the family's 1533-position model. The record is from RNAcentral.